GUUUUACAAGGCAGAGAUUGUGAUGCAGAAAGAAGAGAAAAGACUUUGGAAUGAGGCAGACAUGGGUACAAAUUAUUAACAGCUUUAUCUUUAACAGAUUUCUGAAUCUCUCCAAACAUCUGUUUUCUUCAUUCUGAAAUAAGGACAGAAAUUAAAGGGAUGUUGGGAAGCAAAGUAUCUGAUGCGGCUCACCAAGAGCUUCAGUGUUCAGAUGUCCUGGAUGUGAUGAGGCUAACAUUGACCUUCAGAACUGGAGACUAGCUCUUCUGGUCUAAUCUUCCACAUGGAUGGUGCCUACUUUGAUGACUUGUUACCCUAGUGCCUUUGAUCUCCACUGUAGAAAAUGCUCUGCUCCAUUUCAGAACAGAUUGCCAUGUGCCCCAUUCUCUGGCCUUUGGAGCAAACCAGCGACAGACCUCACAGAUAGAAAUCCACCAUUGCCCAUUCACAAAGAGAGUUCUCCUAGUAAGGGGAGUGAAUGUGAUGAUCCAUAUUUCCUGGAAAAUCUUCCUAGAGGCCUGAGAUGAUAAAUAUUGCCUGUUCCAGAACAGGUCAACUCUAGCCCAGUUUACCCUCAAGUGCUAUCUAGAAGAUGUCGUUUUACUGGUCCCAGUUUUUCACAUACUUCUCAACCAGUAAGGCCUCACCAGGCAGAGGCUCCCCAUUGACCCUUCACUGCUGGACUCGAUCUUUUCUCAAGCAUGCUUGGUUACAUCUUGGUCUAUGCCAACUAAAUAAGAUGUGUGGGUGUUCAAGGAUGGAAGUAUCCUAUCUUGCAUGGUUAGCUUGGGGAUGGUAUUCAGUCUUCUCCAUGUAAUUCUUAUCUUAGAUAUAGCUGGGAUUUUACACUUCUCAAUACAAUCUCAUCUACAUUAUCUAAUUUGAUUCUUGUACAAACUUGCUGUAAUAUGCUCUUAUUGUAGAUUCAUCAUUUAUCCACCAAACAGAAGUGAGCCAUGCUAAGCUAGAUAUUGAGGACACAGUUUUGAAGAAGUGAUGUUCUCUGCCUUCAAGGAGAUUAUAGGCCAGUGAAGAAUAAAGAUAUGUAAAUGAGCAAUUGUAUUAUAGGGAAAUAACUGCUAUAACAGGGCUCCAUGGGAAAGCAUAAGAGAGAUAACAAUGUUUUGAGACCCAGAAGGCACUGUUGAUGUAAACCACUUGGCCUUUACCAUAUCAGUGCAUGCUGUUCUAUCUUUCAACAACCAGCACCUUUAUCUCUUUACCUAAAAGGGCUUUCUUUGGUCAUCCAGGCUAUUCAUCCCUUGACCAAGGACAGGUAAGCGUUACUGUACAAAUACCCCAGCUGCCUUGCUCCUCAGAUGGGUGACUCUAGGUGCAUGCCCCAUACUGUUUUCUAUACUUUCCCAUUUGGAUCAACCAGUUUCCCACAGUGAUAACACUCAGUUAGCUUCUUGUCCUCCCUAUCUCACUUUGGCACUCUCUGUGUUUCCUGGGAUCACAUUCCAAAUAAACUACUUGAACUCUAAUCCAUAUCUUAAAAUCACCUUCUGGAAGGACCCAAUAAGAGGGGAAAAAAAUCAAUAAAGUAUCUUUUAAAGAUAAAGAAAAGAAUAUAUAUUUCUUUUUAGAAAAUACUCCUUCAUUCUUUAAUCCAUUCAUUCAUUUAAUAAAAUUUGAGUGCUUCCUAUAUACUAGAUGAGAGUUACUGAAUAUCUGGGAUGAAGAAAAUAGACAUAAUUUCUAACUUCAAGGGGGUUGUAGUCUAGUGGCAACAUGCAAAUAAAAAUAAAGAUAUGGGAAGAGUUUUUGAUAUCUUCGAUAAGGAAAACAAAGGAAAGCAGGGUAUUAGGAGUCAUUGUAAAACAAAUGAACCCCUCAUUUUAUAAAUGUGGACACUACAGAUGACAGAGGCUGCCUGACUAGCGUGGGGCAGAGCAGGGACAGGAAUGCAAGACUUUAUAUUCUAAUCCAGUUUUCUUCCUACCACACCAUAUCACAGUAUAGCAUAUCACAGAGAUACUAUAUCACAGUAUCUCUUAUUCAUUGGAAAGAUAUAAGAGAAGUGAACUAUUUAAGUCUUAUGACUAUUAAUUAUGUCCAGAAAUGUAUGUGAUAAGGUAGUAACCAAUGAUUUUUUAUUUCAAAUGAAGUUUAAGUUAACUAGAGGAAUAAGUGGCGAGGAAAUAAUUUUCUCCACUUCUCAACUGACCCUUAUGGGUCAAAUUCAGCACUCUUAACAUCAGUCUCUUAAAAAAAAAGAAGAAGAAAAAGAAUUCCUAUUUAUGUAGCUUUGGUGGAUUGGGAAAGCACAAGUGGUUCCAAAUGCUCACUACAUUCUAGUUUUUCACCCUUGAUCUCAGGACAGUAUUGUCUUAUAGUUCAGCUUUCUCCCUUGAUCUGGACUUGAUAUGUGAUGGGAGGAAUGUUUGGUCAUUUAUCUUGGACCAUGGUUUGGCAGCUGCUUCAUUCCUAGUCUUCAGUAGGUAUUUGCAAGGCAGAAGCCAAAUGGUUGAUUUGGGUCCUAAGCUGUCAUCUGAAUAAGCAAGAGGUAUCUUAAGGUGGUUCAAAUCCAAGUCCAGGCUCUUUAGUGUUAUCCUCCUCAAAAACAGAGCCUGCUCAUACUGCUAGAGCUUCCCUCAUGUUUGUUGCAGUAGUAUCAGGUGAUUCCCAAUAAUUUAUUUACUGCUAAACCAAAUUGAUAGAAGUAAGUUCUGAUUACUGGUCCAACUGAGGCAUUCUGGCAAUUGUCUUUUGGUAUAAGGUUGUCACUUUUGCUUUAUUAUCACAGUAUCUGUAAUUCGUAUAUAGGUACCAUGUGCUUUUCUUUCAUGUUCUCCUAAAUUAGAAAACUUUAAUAAAUGCUUUAUACAUCUCCAUCCCGAUAAAUAUUUAUCUUCCUCGGUUUUCUAGCAUCUUUUAUAUUUAUCCCCUUCCUUAUGCCUCUAGCAAUUAUGAAAUCCAUUAACUAUAAUUACAAAGCUCCAUCACAAUUUGGUACACACAGCAAUUAAUAUUCACCAUCUGUAAUCUUCUAAAUGAAUAUUUGUUUAUUUCAAUACUUCAGCUGCAACGUCUAAAAAUGAAGGUAAAUAAUUUGACAAGGACCUCAAAAGCCUUGAAUGUGUUCUUUCAACUGAGAAGUGUAUGACUUCUUAAAAUAUCUCAGGCUCUUUCUUUCAUAGAACUUAUAUGAAUGCCCUUAUUGAUUUUUCAUGAGACUAGAAAGAAAAAAGAUUUGGAUUACAGAAUUCUUGGCUAUUUUUAGAAAAGUAUUUAAAAAUCAAAAGAUGUAUUUUGAAAUUUUUUUUUGAAAAAGGGAAUGCUAUUAUGUUGUCAAUGAGAUCCCUAGUUAAUAACUGAGGCACUCAAGGUAAAAUCAUCAUCACCACCGUCAUCAAGUAAAAUCAUCAUCAUCAUCAUCAUUAUCGUCAUCAUCUAAGGAAUCUGAUAUACUAGUUCUAGUCCAAGUUCUUGUUUGAAAUGGAAACCAACACACCAACUCUAGGUAACUUAAGCAGAAAAAUAACAGUUUAUGGGAUCUGUAACAGCUCUCAGAUUCAAGCCAGAGAACCAGGCUCAGGCAGAAAAGAAGGAAGAAAAUGUGCCUCCAAAAUCUCUCCAAUGGACUUCGGGAUAUCACUGGACACUGGCUGCUGCUCUGUGGACUGUGCUGCCUCUGGCAUUCACUGCUAUGCCACUGGAUUCCCCAUAUUACAUUGAAAAUUUUCUGACUUUCUACCCAUUCCUCCUUUUUUUUCAUUCACAGGUCAAAUGUAGGUCACAGCUUCUGACUGACUGAGCUAAGUAAUAUUUCUAGAGUUUAGCUUCCAAGAGGCAAAGAACAGGACAUAUUUGAUGCUCCAUUUGCUUCAUUGUAGAAAGUGGAAUUCCAUCUCCUACCUAUCUUUGGGUGACCACAGUCCUGGUUUGCCAGAAUAAUCAAGAUUUAAGCCUGUUAUUCAGAUAUAAUGAUGAAUAGUGCUCCUCUCAUUCUAAAGUGUAGCCAGGUUUGGAUGACGUUAUAGAAUAAAUGUUUGUGUCUCCCCAAAAUUCAUACAUAUAAAUUCUAACCCUCAAUGUGUUAGUAUUAGGAGGUGGGGUCUUUGGGAGGUGAUUAGGUCAUGAGGGUGGAGCCCUCAUGAAUGGGAUUAGUACCAUUGAAAAAGAUCUUAGAGAGCUCUUCUCUUUUCUUCUGCCAUGUAAGGACACAGUUAGAAGACAGCCCUCAAUGAACUGGGAAGUGGGUUCUCAACAGACACCAAUUGUACCAGCACCUUGAUCUUGGACUUCUAGCCUCUAGAACUGUGAGAAAUAAAUGUUGUUUAAGCCACCCACUCUAUGAUAUUUUGUGGAUAGCAGCCUGAAUGGACUAAGACAGAGGAAAAACCAUAUACUUGCCCUACCUAUCCAAGGAUUUUCUCCCCUAUUAAAAGGGUAAUUAGAUGCUAGGAAAUCAGAUUUUAUAUUCCCUGUCUUUCACCAAGAUACCAAAUGAAAUCCAUGUUCCUCUAUUAUUUUUUCCAAGCCAACAGGGAUGGAGACAUGCUUUUCAGUGUCACUACCUCUUGAGGUACUUUCAAGUUUCAUCCCUUUGAGGAGAGCAAAAUGUCAAUGUAACUAAGUACAAAGAUUGGCUCUCUUCACAGUCAAGCAAUUCAUCUCAUUUAUAGGCAAUUUUGUUAUUAAUGGGCCACAAAAGUAGAGAACAUAUGGACCACUAAAUCCUCCCAUACAAAGUCUUAUAAGAUAAAUUAAUCACACAUGCGUCUACUGUUAAGUAACAACAUUUAUUUGUGUGCCCAAAGCAAGAUGUGGUCAGAUAUGAAAAAUUGCUGGAGACAGUAGCUAGAAUCAUUGACGAUUUAUGCUAAUGUGAGCCUAAUAGGGUCAAAAGGUAAAAGGAAUUUCUUUCCCUCCACCUACAAUUGUAAUGAUAACCAAGAUAAACCACUUACCAUCACAGUCUAUAGUGACAUCUCUUUCUCUUUUCCUGAUUUUUCUAGCCUUCUAUCUGGGGCAUUCACUGACUAUUGUCACCCACUUGUUCUUUCUAGAUGACAGAUUCUCUGAUGGUCCAGACCACAUAUGUUGGGUAUGCUUUGCAGAAGGAGACCAUGCCCUGAUCAUCUUUGUUUCUCCAGUUGUAGUUGAUGUAGUGCUUUGUAUGCAGCAGGCUUUCAAAAGUCAUAUAUAACACUAUAAUUAAAAUUUAACAACAUGGAGUGCCAUACAGAUAAAAAACCUCAGAAUGUGUGUUGAAUGAGCAUGAUUCUGAGGAUAAAGAACCGUUUGGAAAUUACAUAAGUUUCUGAAUGUAGGGUCCUCAGGAUCUUAUAAGCUAAGUUCCACCAAGAAAUAGAUUAAGAAACUUGGGAGAUUUGUUCACACGUUACGCUGCCAAUAUAACACAAUGCAGAGGGAGGAGAACAGUCUUCUUCCCAAAGAGCAUUACUAGCCACCUAGAAGUUGCUGUUCUAAAUUUACUUUAAUGACAUUAGAUCUUAUGAAUUUGAUUAUCAAGGGCUAGAAAUUGUGGUCAUUAUGAUUUAUCCUGGUAUUUUAGUUCCCUGAGAUGAGUUUGGGUUCUUCAUCAUGGAGAAGUAAUAGACCGAAAAUAGAUGCCUCCAAAGAGAUCAUACUAGGCGAGCUUUUUCAAAGGGGAAAUUGUUUUUGCUUGGAGAAAUGUUCUCACCAUUUUACUUUUUUUGAUUAUUUUUUCACACCUUAUUUCACAUAGGAAGACAUUUUCUUUAAUUACCGUAAUCAAGUUUGCAGCUCAUAGGAAGUGACUCAAAGGAAAAAGGUGUAGACUCCUGUGAGCUGAUAACAUAGAAGCUGGUGACCACACAGGAAGGCCUUCAACCUGGAAACACAAUGUCAGUUUUGUGCCAGGAUUCCACAACCAAUUAAAAGGCACUGGAUUCCCUUAAAUUUAUAUGACUUCAUGAAAUCACUUUCAAGUAAGAAUUUCAAUAUGCACUACCUGUAUGAAAUUCACUGAUAUGUCAUUAUAGUGAUGAAAUGCACACGUGAUGAAAUGCACACUUUUCCUAGUGUGGAGUUUGAAAUGAAGAUGUGGGUAUUUGUUCAUUCAUUCAGCAAGUAUGUAUUGGGUGUUUACUCUGUGAAAAAUGUUGUUCUAGGGUCUAGAGAUAUAAAAUUGAACAAAACAGUGUUCUUUUUCAGUCCCGGGAUAUUAGGAUAAUGUUGAGAGGAUGGAGAAGAAGAUGGAUAAUAAGAUGAACAAAUACAUAUAUAAUACUAAAAUGUUAUAAUAUAAAUAUAUAAUAUCAGAUCAUUAUGAAAGCAUUGAAAAACCUGAAUCAGGGAGAGGAAUAAGACACUGCCAGUGAGGUCAGGGAUUUUAACGUGAAAUGGGUGACUAGGUAAUCGUUUUGAAGAGAUAUUAUGUGAUCAGAGGUCAGAUGUAGAUUUGGUGAGACAGAGGCCAUGUGGGUAAGUGAGAGUAGGAUUUUCCACACAGAGAAGUCUUUGAAUUUGCUGUCCUAAGGAAUAUCAUCUUUGAAGAGAAGGGAAGGGGCUCAGACAGUGAGAGUGAGUGGUAGAAGAUGAGGUAAGAAAGUUACCAAGGACCAGAUCAUGUGCUUCUGUUGGCCUUGAUUAGAUCUCUGGAUUUUAUUCCAAAUGUUUAUACUCUGUAUGUAAGCGUGAGAUCUCUGAGUCACCAACUUCUAUGUUGUAGCAACUACUUCUAUCUCCUUUCUUUUUCUCCUUUCCCUUCCUUUUUCAAAGGUACCAUGCUUGAGGUCUUCUUUCACACCUUCUUUUUACACAGAAAGGAAAAAGACCCAACAUUUAUUGAUAAUGUGCCAGCCACUGCACAAAGAAUAUUGCCAUUUGAUCUUUACAGCUAUCUUCUGAGAUUGAGCUCAGGUUAAUUAACUUGUCACACAGUAAGUGGGAGAGCUGAUUCCAGUUUAGGGCUGUUUGGCCAAAAAUUCGGUGCCCAUUCUACUCUGCCACGUUGCCAGCUAGAUGCUCCCUGACUCAACGAUGAAGUGGACCCUCCUUCCUCUUAUCUGAAAACUGUGUGGUGGACUUUACCUUAUAUUCCAAGCUGUCUGAAAGGUUGAACUCAAACUCAUGUAAUAAAGCCAGCAGGACUAUCUGCUAGUCAUUUCCAGUCUUUGCUAUGGGAUCCUCACUUUCUUUGUUGACUGCCACAGGGGAAAAUCUAAAGUUAUUUGUGAGAGUUGGACCUUCUAGGUACUGGAGAAGAAAGCAUCCACCCAAGAAAGUUAACUUAUCCUGUGGUCUCUCCAUUCAUGUGGUUCCUAUUGAUAGCUGGAAGUAAUGUGGCCAUGAAUGGAAUUGAGAAAUCUGCCUUCAAUAAGACAAAAAUAAAUAAGCCAAACCAUGGAAUUUCAAGGCAUUUAUACCAUGUCUGAGGUUCAAGUUUGCUUUGCAGACCAGGAUGGAUUUUGGAGAGGGAAUAUUAUUCUUGGGAGACAGAAAAAUUGCAACUUGCCAGUUGAUUGACCUCCAUAUGUUCUCUACUCUGCGUUCCACAUUGACUGUGUGCUACACUGUGCGUGUAGAGAUUGCUGACUAUUUACAAGACACUGUUCCAUAUUGGAGACACUUGUGAGCAAAUUUGACAUGUCUGCUUCCUCCUGUCUUUUCUUCUACGUCAUACUCAUUGUGAGUAAUUACGAACAUCCAUAUGGGGGAGCCACUUUGAAGUUCUGCACAAAAACAACACAUGACCCUAAAGAUGAAAAAAAUAACUUCCUUCCAUCACAAAGAGUUCGCGUUUUCCUCUACAUUCUAUUUUGUGAAAAGGAAAUGAGGACUUGAGUGAAUCUUAAGGUUUUUUUUCUCCAAAAUAUGGAUAUUAAAUCAGAAACCAAACAAGAAGCAAAGAACAAAAGCCACAGCAACGCAACAGCAACAAAAAAAACGAGGAGUCUUCUGGUUCAAUCCAACGCAGUAACCUGUAUGAUAGGUAACAAUGGUAAUUAUUCCAUAUAUACUCUUUCUAUUAAUAGAAGAAAUGCAAAGAGGAAGAAGUGGACAUCCACUGGCUUCCCUUUAGCUAUUGUGGCCGUCUAUAAAAAGAGAAUUGGAGAAGAGAAUAAUUAUCUCCUUAUUUGGUUCAGGUAAACAGUCAUUUUUUAUUUUCAUAAAGACACUACAAAACAAAAGGCAUUAUUGCAGAAAACUUGGGGUUGUUACUAAAUUAUCAGAUAAUCUCUUCUACUCUACUUUGCUAUUGAUGAAUGUUUUACCUAUUGUCCCCAAUAAUUGUGUAUGGCUAUGUUCCAAAGGAAAUAAAAAUAAUAUUCGGCUUAUGCAUGCUUUUUAUUAGCCAUAUUCUAAGAAGAUUUUUUUUUCCAAAACAAGUUUAGUAGUCAUGCUUUCUAUUUUUAAUUUGUAUUUAACACUCCAUUUCAGUUCUCACCAUUCAUGUGCUCUGUGUUUACCUGCUUCACUUAGACAGGUCUGUUGCCCUUUCUGUUUUAUAGAAAACGUUGCCACCUGUUCCCAAUGCCAUAACAGCCUGCCAUGGGGUUUAGGUUUACAGCAAUACUCACAAAUUUUCCGGGGCGGGGGGGGAGGUGGCAAAGAAAGUAAAGAAAAAGAAAAAAAAAAUGAACUAUGCCAAAUGAAAUUCAAGUUAACUAAGGGAAAAUUCUCAAGUUAGCAAAGCAUUUUUAUUACACACUGUAAAAUGAAGCUUGAAUUUCCUAAAAAUGUAUUUGUUGCUAUAUCUACUAUUAAUAUUAUUAAGUCUUUUUCUCUUUACAGAGUGCUUGGUCUUUGAGAGUUUUACGUUGACGUCACCUGCAUUAGUGAGAUCAGUCUAGAAAAAGCAGCAUUAAGACCAUUUUACAUUAAAAAGAAACCAACUCAAUUGAAACAUUUCACCAAAAAGAUACAUGAAAAGAUUCUCAAUAUCAUUAUUCACUGGGGAAAUGCAAAUUUCAGCCACAGUGAGAUACUAUUUUACAUCCCAGGAGGGUGAUAGUAAAAAAAAAAAUAGACAAUAAUAAUUGUUGAGGAUAUAGAGAAAUGGGUACUCUCAUACAUCUCCGGUGGAAAUGUAAGAUGGUUCAACACUUUGGGAAACAGUUGGGCAGUUUCUUAACAAGUUAAACAUAAAUUUACCUCAUAACCCAGAAAUUCUACUCCUAGGUAUCAACCCAAGAGAAAUGAAAACUUAUGACCACACAAAAACACAUAUAAGGAUGUUCAUAGCAGCAUUAUUCAUAAUAGGCAAAACAUGGAAACAUUCAAGUGUCCAUUAACUAAUGAAGGACUAAAUAAAACAUGAUAUUUCUACACAAUGGAAUACUACUUGGCAGUAAUAA
RNAcentral lists this long non-coding RNA (9293 nucleotides) under Equus asinus (donkey). Its description in RNAcentral is "lncRNA (ENSEASG00005024079.1)". Lineage: Eukaryota; Metazoa; Chordata; Mammalia; Perissodactyla; Equidae. The record is from RNAcentral.